GGCGGAAGCAAACGAGAGAAGUAAAGAAAUGGCGAGAAGUAAUAGUUGUGUGUUUCCAAGAGAUCUGCUUCAGAGAUUUAUCUCUAACUCUGUUGAAGGUGAAGAUGAUGAUGAAGAAGAAGAUGAUGAUGAGAUCGAGUUAAAUCUUGGCUUAUCUCUUGGUGGAAGAUUUGGUGUUGAUAAGAGUAAUAAGCUUGUGAGAUCUUCUUCCGUUGUUGUAACGAUGCCUCUGUUUCGUGAAGAUCAUCAUCAUCAUCAAGCGGCG
Molecule: long non-coding RNA, 265 nt
Filed under: Arabidopsis thaliana (thale cress)
Lineage: Eukaryota; Viridiplantae; Streptophyta; Magnoliopsida; Brassicales; Brassicaceae
Description: long non-coding RNA (ATHA_LNC000627)
Source: RNAcentral